Molecule: non-coding RNA, 101 nt
Organism: Acidovorax sp. JS42
Lineage: Bacteria; Pseudomonadati; Pseudomonadota; Betaproteobacteria; Burkholderiales; Comamonadaceae
Source: Rfam
GGGCAGGAUAUGUGAAGUAGGCCCACCGGCAAGCCGGUUGUCCUUCUUCACUGUCCCUUAUUCGCGCGGGGCGCUCAACGGGCAUCCUGCUCUGCGAGGCU